ACUUAUGAAAUAUAAAUGAUAACAAACCCACGUCUCAUACAUUGCUGUAAAAUUAGUUGUAAAAUUAUUGUUUUUUUAAUAAAUAUAUCCAUUUUUGAUAAACAAUGUGCAUUUGAUUUGUGGUAAAAAGAAUAAACAAUGGAUUUAUUAACACAUUCACUUGCUGAAAUCACAGUGCAUCAUGAUGGUGAAGUACUUUGAGUGCCUUUGGACAAAAAUAGCACUGUAAGCAUGAUUUCUUUGAAGUCUUUUGUUCCUGAUACGAUUGGGAUGACAUACAACAAACCUGAUGGGACCUCAGCCCUAGUACCACUUGGAAAUGAUAAAUUUUAUAUACCACAAGGAGUUAAAACAUGUUUCAUUCGUGUCAACAAAAAUGACAAUUUUCAUAAUGGAAUCAGGAAUUUUAAAGGGAUUCAAUUAAAAACAAUGCUUGAAGAUUUACAACCAUCAAAAAAACGAAAAGUUUCUGAAACAACACAAUCAGUAUUACCAAACCAGAUAAUUGUUUUGUUCUUCGGUUCAAAUUCUUUAAAUAAUCAACUUUUUUUUUUUGCAUAUUCAAAACAAUGUGACAAUGAAUCAAGAGACUGUUAAGGCUAAUAUAAAUGAAAAACACAUUAAGUCACGCUGGUACCAUUGUAGUUAUGACAGUGAAAAUUAUUUACAAAAAAGUGAUUCAACAAAUAUAAAGACAAAAACUUUAGAUAUUUAUGAAAAUCAACUCUACGAUAAACAACAAAUCUCUGGAAAAAUUAAAAAUUUGUUUUAUGACGAUUUCACUAAGCCUAUUCUUGAUGAUUCUACAAUCGAAUUAGCAAAUUUAAAAUUUCAAACAAUUCCAAGUUUUGAAAAUAUAUUCAAAUAUUUAAAAUCAAUAGGAACGUCACCAUCUAGAAUGGUUUUGAUUUUAUUAACUAUUUGUAUUAAGUAUUCGUUGUAGUUCAUAGAGGAUCAGUGGUCCAAAACAGUAUGUUAUGCAUUCAAUAUGAAUUGGAUUUGAAUUAUCAAAAACAAAAGAAUCACGCAUGUCUUUAAAAAGUGAAAUGUAAUGGUUAAUCCCAGCUCGACGCAACUAAGACCAAAAGCUUUCGAUACGCUGAUUUGCAGUACUUUUUCCUUGUAUGAAACUAUUUAAUCCAGCUAAUUGAUCAUCAUGAUAAAAUCGUAAGCAACAUACUGUUAUUUUUGUUGACACGAAUGAAACAUGUUUUAACUCCUUGUGGUAUAUAAAAUUUAUCAUUUCCAAGUGGUACAAGGGCUGAGGUCCCAUCAGGUUUGUUGUAUGUCAUCCCAAUCGUAUCA
This is a long non-coding RNA of Aphidius gifuensis, 1305 nucleotides long. RefSeq lists it as uncharacterized. Lineage: Eukaryota; Metazoa; Arthropoda; Insecta; Hymenoptera; Braconidae. The transcript has 3 exons. The record is from RefSeq and is a predicted model, not a curated record.